RNAcentral lists this ribosomal RNA (890 nucleotides) under uncultured marine bacterium. RNAcentral describes it as "bacterial SSU rRNA". It matches the Rfam family "Bacterial small subunit ribosomal RNA", at positions 56 to 921 of the family's 1533-position model. The record is from RNAcentral.
UGCAAGUCGAACGGUAACAGAUCGCUGUGAUCCCUUCGGGGUGAACUUGAUGCUGACGAGUGGCGGACGGGUGAGUAACGCGUAGGAAUCUACCCAGUAGCGGGGGAUAGCCCGGGGAAACUCGGAUUAAUACCGCAUACGCCCUAUGGGGGAAAGCGGGGGACCUUUCGAGGCCUCGCACUAUUGGAGGAGCCUGCGUUGGAUUAGCUUGUUGGUAGGGUAAAAGCCUACCAAGGCAACGAUCCAUAGCUGGUCUGAGAGGACGAUCAGCCACACUGGAACUGAGACACGGUCCAGACUCCUACGGGAGGCAGCAGUAGGGAAUAUUGCACAAUGGGCGAAAGCCUGAUGCAGCUAUGCCGCGUGUGUGAAGAAGGCCUUAGGGUUGUAAAGCACUUUCAGUAGGGAGGAAAAAGCUGGGUUAAUAUCCUAGUUAUAUGACGUUACCUACAGAAGAAGCACCGGCUAACUCCGUGCCAGCAGCCGCGGUAAUACGGAGGGUGCAAACGUUAAUCGGAAUUACUGGGCGUAAAGCGCGCGUAGGCGGUUGAUUAAGUGGGAUGUGAAAGCCCCGGGCUUAACCUGGGAACUGCAUUCCAAACUGAUCAACUAGAGUACGAGAGAGGGGGGUAGAAUUCAGAGUGUAGCGGUGAAAUGCGUAGAUAUUCUGAGGAAUACCGGUGGCGAAGGCGGCCCCCUGGCUUGAUACUGACGCUCAGGUGCGAAAGCGUGGGGAGCAAACAGGAUUAGAUACCCUGGUAGUCCACGCCGUAAACGAUGUCUACUAGCCGUUGGGGGGCUUGUCCCUUUAGUGGCGCAGCUAACGCGAUAAGUAGACCGCCUGGGGAGUACGGUCGCAAGAUUAAAACUCAAAUGAAUUGACGGGGGCC